Molecule: ribosomal RNA, 445 nt
Filed under: Staphylococcus aureus
Lineage: Bacteria; Bacillati; Bacillota; Bacilli; Caryophanales; Staphylococcaceae
Description: bacterial SSU rRNA
Rfam family: Bacterial small subunit ribosomal RNA
Source: RNAcentral
UUUUAUGGAGAGUUUGAUCCUGGCUCAGGAUGAACGCUGGCGGCGUGCCUAAUACAUGCAAGUCGAGCGAACGGACGAGAAGCUUGCUUCUCUGAUGUUAGCGGCGGACGGGUGAGUAACACGUGGAUAACCUACCUAUAAGACUGGGAUAACUUCGGGAAACCGGAGCUAAUACCGGAUAAUAUUUUGAACCGCAUGGUUCAAAAGUGAAAGACGGUCUUGCUGUCACUUAUAGAUGGAUCCGCGCUGCAUUAGCUAGUUGGUAAGGUAACGGCUUACCAAGGCAACGAUACGUAGCCGACCUGAGAGGGUGAUCGGCCACACUGGAACUGAGACACGGUCCAGACUCCUACGGGAGGCAGCAGUAGGGAAUCUUCCGCAAUGGGCGAAAGCCUGACGGAGCAACGCCGCGUGAGUGAUGAAGGUCUUCGGAUCGUAAAACUCU